RNAcentral lists this ribosomal RNA (1388 nucleotides) under uncultured bacterium. RNAcentral's name for it is "bacterial SSU rRNA". It matches the Rfam family "Bacterial small subunit ribosomal RNA". The record is from RNAcentral.
GAAUUCGCCCUUAGAGUUUGAUCUGGCUCAGGACGAACGCUGGCGGCGCGCCUAACACAUGCAAGUCGAACGAGCGGAGACCCUUCGGGGUCGAAGUUAGUGGCGGACGGGUGAGUAACACGUGAGGAACCUGCCUUACAGAGAGGGAUACCGUUUGGAAACGAACGUUAAUACCUCAUGAAGUAUCGAGAUCGCAUGGUCUUGGUACCAAAGAUUUAUCGCUGUAAGAUGGCCUCGCGUCUGAUUAGAUAGUUGGUGAGGUAACGGCCCACCAAGUCGACGAUCAGUAGCCGGACUGAGAGGUUGAUCGGCCACAUUGGGACUGAGACACGGCCCAGACUCCUACGGGAGGCAGCAGUGGGGGAUAUUGCACAAUGGGCGAAAGCCUGAUGCAGCGACGCCGCGUGAGGGAAGACGGUUUUCGGAUUGUAAACCUCUGUCUUCGGGGACGAAAAUGACGGUACCCGAGGAGGAAGCCACGGCUAACUACGUGCCAGCAGCCGCGGUAAUACGUAGGUGGCAAGCGUUGUCCGGAAUUACUGGGUGUAAAGGGAGAGUAGGCGGGAUUGCAAGUCCGUUGUUAAAUCUAUCGGCUUAACCGGUAGCUGCGGCGGAAACUGUAGUUCUUGAGUGAAGUAGAGGCAGGCGGAAUUCCUAGUGUAGCGGUGAAAUGCGUAGAUAUUAGGAGGAACACCAGUGGCGAAGGCGGCCUGCUGGGCUUUAACUGACGCUGAGGCUCGAAAGUGUGGGGAGCAAACAGGAUUAGAUACCCUGGUAGUCCACGCUGUAAACGAUGAAUACUUAGGUGUGCGGGGACUGACCCCCUGCGUGCCGCAGCUAACGCAAUAAGUAUUCCACCUGGGGAGUACGAUCGCAAGGUUGAAACUCAAAGGAAUUGACGGGGGCCCGCACAAGCGGUGGAUUAUGUGGUUUAAUUCGAAGCAACGCGAAGAACCUUACCAGGGCUUGACAUCCUACUAACGAAGUAGAGAUACAUCAGGUGCCCUUCGGGGAAAGUAGAGACAGGUGGUGCAUGGUUGUCGUCAGCUCGUGCCGUGAGGUGUUAGGUUAAGUCCUGCAACGAGCGCAACCCUUACCUCCAGUUACCAGCACGUCAAGGUGGGGACUCUGGAGGAACUGCCUACGCAAGUAGAGAGGAAGGUGGGGAUGACGUCAAAUCAGCACGGCCCUUAUGUCCGGGGCUACACACGUGCUACAAUGGCGCGCACAGAAGGCAGCGACCCUGCGAGGGGGAGCGAAUCCCGAAAGCGCGUCUCAGUUCGGAUCGGAGUCUGCAACCCGACUCUGUGAAGUUGGAUUCGCUAGUAAUCGCGCAUCAGCCAUGACGCGGUGAAUACGUUCCCGGGCCUUGCACACACCGCCCGUCA